RNAcentral lists this ribosomal RNA (278 nucleotides) under uncultured bacterium. RNAcentral describes it as "partial 16S ribosomal RNA". It matches the Rfam family "Bacterial small subunit ribosomal RNA", at positions 506 to 784 of the family's 1533-position model. The record is from RNAcentral.
UGCCAGCCGCCGCGGUAAUACGUAUGUCGCAAGCGUUAUCCGGAUUUAUUGGGCGUAAAGCGCGUCUAGGCGGAUUGAAAAGUCUGAUGUGAAAAUGCGGGGCUCAACUCCGUAUUGCGUUGGAAACUGUCAAUCUAGAGUACUGGAGAGGUGGGCGGAACUACAAGUGUAGAGGUGAAAUUCGUAGAUAUUUGUAGGAAUGCCGAUGGAGAAGUCAGCUCACUGGACAGAUACUGACGCUGAAGCGCGAAAGCGUGGGGAGCAAACAGGAUUAGAUA